CGCGCCGCCACCAUCUCGUCCGCCGGCGCUGCCGGCUGCAGCGACAUCCACCCGCCGCCUUUACCUUCCUGGGCGCGAGCCCGCGCUCAUGUCCGGGGCUGGCGGAAAGCGCUCCCUGAGGACACGUAAAAGCGUUUCAGACCCGGGCAGCGUCCCUGCCCGCGCUGCUCCUCUGGCAGGCUCCGCUCGCGCAGGGAGACGCGCGGCACUUGGCUCCCGCCUGAAGCAGGGCCUUGCUUCCUGAGCCUGGGAACCGGGUCUGCGGUACGCAGURUCUACACCAGGACGAGUGUGCAACGCGGUUUCCUCUGUCUGUUUAUCGGGAAUGCUGCAAGCAGCAGGCUCCAGCUCGGCUCCAGCCUUGUACAUGCUGCAGUUGCUAUAAGACGCAUAUUGAAAAAUUCAGCACAGACACAGAAUAUGGACUGCUCUGCACUUCUAAAGGAAUUAGGACUUGAAAUUCAUGCUGCUACUGUUCUUUAAGGUAUAAAAUAAAACAAAACAGAUUGUGCUUUAUGUUCCCA
This 524-nucleotide long non-coding RNA is filed under the name Dromaius novaehollandiae (emu). RNAcentral's name for it is "lncRNA (ENSDNVG00000016403.1)". The record is from RNAcentral. Lineage: Eukaryota; Metazoa; Chordata; Aves; Casuariiformes; Dromaiidae.